GACGAACGCUGGCGGCGUGCUUAACACAUGCAAGUCGAACGGAAAGGCCCUGCUUUUGUGGGGUGCUCGAGUGGCGAACGGGUGAGUAACACGUGAGUAACCUGCCCUUGACUUUGGGAUAACUUCAGGAAACUGGGGCUAAUACCGGAUAGGAGCUCCUGCUGCAUGGUGGGGGUGGGAAAGUUUCGGCGGUUGGGGGUGGACUCGCGGCUUAUCAGCUUGUUGGUGGGGUAGUGGCUUACCAAGGCUUUGACGGGUAGCCGGCCUGAGAGGGUGACCGGCCACAUUGGGACUGAGAUACGGCCCAGACUCCUACGGGAGGCAGCAGUGGGGAAUAUUGCACAAUGGGCGGAAGCCUGAUGCAGCAACGCCGCGUGCGGGAUGACGGCCUUCGGGUUGUAACCCGCUUUCGCCUGUGACGAAGCGUGAGUGACGGUAAUGGGUAAAGAAGCACCGGCUAACUACGUG
RNAcentral lists this ribosomal RNA (468 nucleotides) under uncultured bacterium. RNAcentral's name for it is "partial 16S ribosomal RNA". It matches the Rfam family "Bacterial small subunit ribosomal RNA", at positions 28 to 507 of the family's 1533-position model. The record is from RNAcentral.